GAUGAACGCUAGCGGCAGGCUUAAUACAUGCAAGUCGAGGGGCAGCAUGAUUGUAGCAAUACAAUUGAUGGCGACCGGCAAACGGGUGCGGAACACGUACACAACCUUCCAAUAAGUGGGGAAUAGCCCAGAGAAAUUUGGAUUAAUACCCCGUAACAUAACGAUGUGGCAUCACAUUGUUAUUAUAGAUUUUUCGCUUAUUGAUGGGUGUGCGGCUGAUUAGAUAGUUGGCGGGGUAACGGCCCACCAAGUCUACGAUCAGUAGCUGAUGUGAGAGCAUGAUCAGCCACACGGGGACUGAGACACGGGCCGGACUCCUGCGGGAGGCAGCAGUAAGGAAUAUUGGACAAUGGACGCAAGUCUGAUCCAGCCAUGCCGCGUGAAGGAUUAAGGUCCUCUGGAUUGUGAACUUCUUUUAUAAGGGACGAAAAAAGGCUUUUCUAAGUCGUCUGACGGUACCUUAUGAAUAAGCACCGGCUAACUCCGUGCCAGCCGCCGCCGUAA
This 504-nucleotide ribosomal RNA is filed under the name uncultured bacterium. RNAcentral describes it as "partial 16S ribosomal RNA". It matches the Rfam family "Bacterial small subunit ribosomal RNA", at positions 28 to 523 of the family's 1533-position model. The record is from RNAcentral.